This 240-nucleotide ribosomal RNA is filed under the name Crypthecodinium cohnii. RNAcentral's name for it is "partial Bacterial large subunit ribosomal RNA". It matches the Rfam family "Bacterial large subunit ribosomal RNA", at positions 1518 to 1757 of the family's 2925-position model. Lineage: Eukaryota; Dinophyceae; Gonyaulacales; Crypthecodiniaceae. The record is from RNAcentral.
CUGUAGUCGUGCCCGGUAGGCAAAUCCGCCGGGCUUAGAUGAGGGGUGAUAACGAGGCUGCUUGCAGCCGAAGUGAGUGAUACCCUGCUUCCAAGAAAAGCCACUAAGCUUCAGCUAUUGACGACCGUACCGCAAACCGACACUGGUGCGCGAGAUGAGUAUUCUAAGGCGCUUGAGAGAACUCGGGAGAAGGAACUCGGCAAAUUGGUACCGUAACUUCGGGAAAAGGUACGCCCCGGU